This 371-nucleotide long non-coding RNA is filed under the name Pan troglodytes (chimpanzee). Its description in RNAcentral is "long non-coding RNA NONPTRT016965". The record is from RNAcentral. Lineage: Eukaryota; Metazoa; Chordata; Mammalia; Primates; Hominidae.
AUCUGCUCUGGGGACAGCUGUGAGUAGGCCUCCAGCCCACAGCCAUGUGAGUGACCCUUUUGAAGAGUGGAUCUUCCAGGCCCAGUCAAGCCUUCAGAUGACUGCAGCCCCAGCCAACAUCUUGGGAGACCCCGAGUCAGAAACCCCCGCUAAGUCACUUCCAGAUCCCUAAGUCUCAGAAACUGAAGAAAAAAAAAAUCCACCUGAGGGCCAAUCUGAUGCUCGGGGAGAUGGAGCAUCUUCUUCUAUCACAGUCUCCUGCCGCAUUUCACGUGAUGAUACAGCAAGAAUUAAGCCAUCUGCAAGCUGGUAGGAGGGUCCCUACCAGAACCUUACCCUGCUGGCACCCUGAUCUCAGAUGUCCAGCCUCC